Molecule: ribosomal RNA, 253 nt
Filed under: uncultured bacterium
Lineage: Bacteria
Description: partial 16S ribosomal RNA
Rfam family: Bacterial small subunit ribosomal RNA
Source: RNAcentral
UACAGAGGGGGCAAGCGUUGUUCGGAAUUACUGGGCGUAAAGGGCGCGUAGGCGGCCUGUUAAGUCGAACGUGAAAUCCCCGGGCUCAACCCGGGAACUGCGUCCGAUACUGGCAGGCUUGAAUUCGGGAGAGGGAUGUGGAAUUCCUGGUGUAGCGGUGAAAUGCGUAGAUAUCUGGAGGAACACCGGUGGCGAAGGCGGCGUUCUGGACUGCAACUGACACUGAUAAACGAAAGCCAGGGGAGCAAACGGG